AAAUUGAAGAGUUUGAUCAUGGCUCAGAUUGAACGCUGGCGGCAGGCCUAACACAUGCAAGUCGAACGGUAACAGGAAGCAGCUUGCUGCUUUGCUGACGAGUGGCGGACGGGUGAGUAAUGUCUGGGAAACUGCCUGAUGGAGGGGGAUAACUACUGGAAACGGUGGCUAAUACCGCAUAACGUCGCAAGACCAAAGAGGGGGACCUUCGGGCCUCUUGCCAUCAGAUGUGCCCAGAUGGGAUUAGCUUGUUGGUGAGGUAACGGCUCACCAAGGCGACGAUCCCUAGCUGGUCUGAGAGGAUGACCAGCCACACUGGAACUGAGACACGGUCCAGACUCCUACGGGAGGCAGCAGUGGGGAAUAUUGCACAAUGGGCGCAAGCCUGAUGCAGCCAUGCCGCGUGUAUGAAGAAGGCCUUCGGGUUGUAAAGUACUUUCAGCGGGGAGGAAGGUGUUGUGGUUAAUAACCGCAGCAAUUGACGUUACCCGCAGAAGAAGCACCGGCUAACUCCGUGCCAGCAGCCGCGGUAAUACGGAGGGUGCAAGCGUUAAUCGGAAUUACUGGGCGUAAAGCGCACGCAGGCGGUCUGUCAAGUCGGAUGUGAAAUCCCCGGGCUCAACCUGGGAACUGCAUUCGAAACUGGCAGGCUUGAGUCUUGUAGAGGGGGGUAGAAUUCCAAGUGUAGCGGUGAAAUGCGUAGAGAUCUGGAGGAAUACCGGUGGCGAAGGCGGCCCCCUGGACAAAGACUGACGCUCAGGUGCGAAAGCGUGGGGAGCAAACAGGAUUAGAUACCCUGGUAGUCCACGCCGUAAACGAUGUCUACUUGGAGGUUGUGCCCUUGAGGCGUGGCUUCCGGAGCUAACGCGUUAAGUAGACCGCCUGGGGAGUACGGCCGCAAGGUUAAAACUCAAAUGAAUUGACGGGGGCCCGCACAAGCGGUGGAGCAUGUGGUUUAAUUCGAUGCAACGCGAAGAACCUUACCUGGUCUUGACAUCCACGGAAGAAUUCAGAGAUGGAUUUGUGCCUUCGGGAACCGUGAGACAGGUGCUGCAUGGCUGUCGUCAGCUCGUGUUGUGAAAUGUUGGGUUAAGUCCCGCAACGAGCGCAACCCUUAUCCUUUGUUGCCAGCGAUUCGGUCGGGAACUCAAAGGAGACUGCCAGUGAUAAACUGGAGGAAGGUGGGGAUGACGUCAAGUCAUCAUGGCCCUUACGACCAGGGCUACACACGUGCUACAAUGGCGCAUACAAAGAGAAGCGACCUCGCGAGAGCAAGCGGACCUCAUAAAGUGCGUCGUAGUCCGGAUUGGAGUCUGCAACUCGACUCCAUGAAGUCGGAAUCGCUAGUAAUCGUGGAUCAGAAUGCCACGGUGAAUACGUUCCCGGGCCUUGUACACACCGCCCGUCACACCAUGGGAGUGGGUUGCAAAAGAAGUAGGUAGCUUAACCUUCGGGAGGGCGCUUACCACUUUGUGAUUCAUGACUGGGGUGAAGUCGUAACAAGGUAACCGUAGGGGAACCUGCGGUUGGAUCACCUCCUUA
Molecule: ribosomal RNA, 1542 nt
Filed under: Salmonella enterica subsp. enterica serovar Montevideo
Lineage: Bacteria; Pseudomonadati; Pseudomonadota; Gammaproteobacteria; Enterobacterales; Enterobacteriaceae
Description: bacterial SSU rRNA
Rfam family: Bacterial small subunit ribosomal RNA
Source: RNAcentral